This is an RNA transcript of Oncorhynchus kisutch (coho salmon), 1447 nucleotides long. RefSeq lists it as uncharacterized. The transcript has 9 exons. The record is from RefSeq and is a predicted model, not a curated record. Lineage: Eukaryota; Metazoa; Chordata; Actinopteri; Salmoniformes; Salmonidae.
AGUCCAAUGCUCUAACCAUUGCACUCCACGAGUAGCCUGCCUGUUACGCGAAUGCAGUAGAAGCCAAGAUACAUGGAUCAAGAGGGACACCUUUACAACCAUUUCCUCGACCUGGUCUCAGUCUCUGAUGUAUGUCCUGUGAUACAAACAGGACAACUUAGUGGUGUGGCAAAACAGGAUGCCUUCCUGUGGACGGUGCCUGUGGCUUGUGCUGCCCACUGCAUUGCUCUGGCCUGUAAAGAUGCAUCAGCUGAGGUCCCCUAUAUGGACACUAUCAAGGAGCACCUGCAGCAGCUCCAUAGUUACUUUGCCAAAAGCAGUAACAAGACAGAAGUCUUGAAAGCUGCUUCAGCGACCUUGGGACUUCAGUACUUAAAAGUGAAGGAAGUGAAAGAUGUUUGCUGGCUGUCCCAGCACCUGGCCGUGGCUAAUCUUCAGCGAAACCUCAGCGCAGUAAUGGCUGAGGUGAACCGGUGCCCAACUGCUACGCUGCACUUUACCUGCAGGGGGACGUGCUGCCACGCCUGACGCGGCUUUCAAAAGUAUUCUGAAAGGAGGAUGUAAACUUCUUGGCCAUAAAAGAGCAGGUCCCUGUGACAAUGGCAUCACUCCUCGCCAUAAAACAUUCUGGUGCUCCCAGGGGUCAUUUCUGAGCCAAGUCCACCAGGACCUCGAUGACCCAAUGGGUCUGGGCAAACUCAACAUCGAGGAGAGGGAGAGGCCCGUUGGAGAAGACCAAGACCAGGGAGCAAUUCUGGGCUCGGUUCAGAGAGGAGGUCAUGAAUCCAUAUCUUGUUGGCCUCAAGGACAGCCUAGACUGGAGGUUCCAGCACCUGGAGAUUCUGGGGGCCUUCAGUGUGUUGGGACCUCAGGCUGUGUUCUCUAGUGAGAAGAUAAACACCUUUAACCUGACCCUCCUCUCCAGGCAGUUCUUGCAAGCGCCAGAGGCUGCUAUGCUGCAAGAGUGGCCCUCUUACAAGCAACAUGUGCUAGUUGGAGCAUUCAAGGGCUUGGACCAGCUGACGGCAAAGACAAAGCUGGCCUCGCAGUUUGAUGAUUGGGGGCAGCUCUAGCGCCGUCUUACCCAGCUGGUAGCAAUCGCACUGACUAUACCAGUGUCUUCCGUUAAUUGUGAGAGGGACUUCUCUGCAAUGCAACAAGUCAAAACAGACUUGAGGAACAGCAUCUAGCUACCUGCAUGCAGCUCUUCAUCAACAGCCACCCCCAACAAGGAGCUUCGAGGCAGGUCGUUGGAAAUCUUUUUCCCGAAAGCCCAAUAGAACAAUGUGCUCUGACAAAGGCUGUAAACUAUGUCAGAAAUAGGUUGUCGUCAGAAUCUGGAAAGAGAUUUCCAACACUCUUUUGUGAGGAACAUGAAUUAGUGGACUAAUUCAUGUUCAGUCAAAUGUUCCUCUGUUAAUUUUGUCAAGAUAAACUUUUUAUUUCA